GGCCAACUCCCCAGGACAGUCUGAGAGGUCUUCACUGAAGUGUUGCCAUUGAGCUGGACCAUGAAGGAUGUGUAGGAGUCCAUCAGGGUUGAAACGGAGGGAAGAUCACCAUAAGGAGAGGGAACAGAGGUGCAUCUUUUCCAGCCGAAGCUGCCCUCAUUCUCCUCUGAAAUCCUACUGCACUGACUGGGGACGCCCACUGGCUAAUCAAGCGCCCGGUGGAGAGGUGCUGUGCUGGUCUCCUCUGCUGCCCUAGAGGCACACCUGGUGGCUGGUCCCUGCCUCUUUACACCAGUGUUCCACCCCAGGCCUGUGCAACAAGACCUCCACUGCCUCGAAGCCUUUCUGUCUCAGCCACUUCCAGGGACGCCAAUGCCCUGUGGCCUGUCCCUUCAGGCCUGCCAUCUCAUCCUUCCCUCAAUGCUGACCUCACCCAGGAAGUGUCUCUGUCCACUCAGGUAAGAAGCCGGCAAGGAGGGGGCACCCGGGAAAAGUAGUGAACGGAUCUAUCAAUCAACGUCCAGCAGAUGGUUCAAACGGGCACCCAGUACAUUUCAUGAACGAAUGAAUCAAUGCACGUCUAGCAGACUGUACCAACGCCUUAAUUCUUCCCCACCUGCAGGGAUAAGCUGAACGAAGCCUGUGUGUGCACGUGCACACAAUCACACCUUCACCGGUUGUGAGGGGAGACUGGCAGACCUUAGCACCUUCAGACUACCGUGGGUCGGCUCAUCCCCUCCUUGAGAAACAGAAGCGACACAGCUCAAGGGAAAGAGGUACCUUGCCCCCCAGACACUACAAAUCAGGUACCUCUUCUCCCUCCCUGCCGGAAGACCCUCAUACUCAGGAAAAUAUUCUCUCUCAGCAGCAUCUACACUCUCCCACCGGCCCCAGCCCGGACUCCUGGCCCCCCCGGGGCCACUGAGCCCCCCUCGAUGACAGCCUCCUCAGGUUCCCCAAAGUAGGACACCCAGGCGUUUGGCACUCUACUCCUUCCACAGCACAGUGGGUUCUGGAACGUUCUGAGGAAUGGGCUUUUUUUGGCCCAGGAGGGCAAACCCCAAGAAUCAGAUAAACACCAGCGCAGGCCUCCAGCCCCCUGGGGGGCCCAUUCCGAGGCACGGCGCGCGCAGGGACCGCCACGCCGCCUCUGCGCUGGGCGCACACCUACCGCCCUGGCCGGCGUCCCGGUGUCGCACCCAGAGCACUGAGCGCGCCCCGAAACUCCGCGCUCCUGCUGGGCCCCGCUCCCAGCUGUCAGGGCAGCCAAGUGGGCUGUCACAAAAAAGGGAAAAAGCACAUGAAACGUUUCGGGUUGUUUUUAUGGGCCUCGGCGGCCCCCGCUCCUCCCCCGGGCUCCCAUGGCAGACACACAAGUAUGAGUUCAGACCCUGCACGACACCUUUCGGACAGGCUGGUGACGCCAGCCCCGGGGAGUACAAGAGGCCGG
Molecule: long non-coding RNA, 1450 nt
Filed under: Equus asinus (donkey)
Lineage: Eukaryota; Metazoa; Chordata; Mammalia; Perissodactyla; Equidae
Description: lncRNA (ENSEASG00005034472.1)
Source: RNAcentral